UAGGGAAUCUUCCACAAUGGACGCAAGUCUGAUGGAGCAACGCCGCGUGAGUGAAGAAGGUCUUCGGAUCGUAAAGCUCUGUUGUUGGCGAAGAAGGAUAGAGGCAGUAACUGGUCUUUAUUUGACGGUAAUCAACCAGAAAGUCACGGCUAACUACGUGCCAGCAGCCGCGGUAAUACGUAGGUGGCAAGCGUUGUCCGGAUUUAUUGGGCGUAAAGCGAGCGCAGGCGGAAUGAUAAGUCUGAUGUGAAAGCCCACGGCUCAACCGUGGAACUGCAUCGGAAACUGUCAUUCUUGAGUGCAGAAGAGGAGAGUGGAACUCCAUGUGUAGCGGUGGAAUGCGUAGAUAUAUGGAAGAACACCAGUGGCGAAGGCGGCUCUCUGGUCUGCAAACUGACGCUGAGGCUCGAAAAGCAUGGGUAGCGAACAGGAUUAGAUACCCUGGUAGUCCAUGCCGUAAAACGAUGAGCGCUAGGUGUUGGGGACUUUCCGGUUCUCAGUGCCGCAGCAAACGCAUUAAAGCGCUCCGCCUGGGGAGUACGACCGC
Molecule: ribosomal RNA, 547 nt
Filed under: uncultured bacterium
Lineage: Bacteria
Description: partial 16S ribosomal RNA
Rfam family: Bacterial small subunit ribosomal RNA
Source: RNAcentral